This is a long non-coding RNA of Gossypium raimondii (Peruvian cotton), 9763 nucleotides long. RefSeq lists it as uncharacterized. The record is from RefSeq and is a predicted model, not a curated record. The transcript has 5 exons. NCBI's taxonomy places the organism in Eukaryota, Viridiplantae, Streptophyta, Magnoliopsida, Malvales, Malvaceae.
AUAUAACUUCAGCGUGAUAUUUCAACAAAAAUGAUGGGGGAAAGAAAUCCCUAAAAGCCUAAAGAAAAAGGGGGAAAGGUGAGGCCGAUGCCGAUGGAAUUCGUGACAGACCCAGACGACCAAGGUUCAGCCAUGGAAGUCGACAAUGUUGACACACCGGAGAUCUUCGACGAAGGUGUCAUCGCUUCCGACAACCAGCUCGCCAAUGCCGAUUUCUUCAACUAAAAAAACAAAGAAGAAUCAUUUCAAUUGGGAGAUUGUUCUCAUAACACUAGCUACUGGUCCAUUCAUGGUUGCUGCUGGAGGCAUAUCUAAUAUAUUUCUUCAUAGGCUUGCUAAGAACAUCCAAGAUGCUUAUGCUGAGGCAGCUAGCAUUGCUGAACAGUCGCAUUAUUUAACACCAAAACCCAUAUUUUACGGGUUUUUCAAAGAAGAAAAAUGCUGAGAAUAGAUGGUCUCUGCAAGAAGAUGGGCUACAAGGAUGCCAAGUUACUGAUGCUUUACAGGCUCUGAUAGCCAAUGGCGUUGAAGAGGAGACUAUCCAGUGUGGGCGUCCAAAGGAAUAGAAGUUCUGGAUCUCGUUUGCGUAUCGUGAUUCUUGUUUUCUUCUCAAUUCUGACGCUCAUUGCUUUGAGUUCAUUACAAUUCUACUGCUUUCAGUUUCACGCUCAUUGCUUUGAGUUCAUUACAAGAUUUCCUUGAUUAAAUAAAUAUAUUAUAUAUUUUAUUACCAAGAUUUACUUGAUUAAGAAAAUGCAUUGUAUGUUUUAUUACCUUGCAUAUGUAUUAUUUAUUUUGGUUUUGAUUCUAAAUUUUUAUUUUUACUUAAGAGUUCUAAAUUUUGGAUUUUAAUUGUAUUAUUAAUUUAUUAUUUUAAAUUCUAAAUUUAAAUUCAUUAAUUUUUAUAUUUAGUUUUAAAGUUAAAAUUUUCGUACAAAAUUUAAUUUAAAUAAUAUUUUUUAUUUAUCCUUAAAACAUAAUAUAAUAUUUAUCAUAGAAAUAAAUAAUAUUGAAAAAAAUUAUUUUUUAAAGAUAUGUUUUUAGCAGCGUUUGUGUGAAAAGCGCUGCUAAAGGUCUGUUCUAUAGCGGCGUUUGUACGGAAAAGCGCCGCUAAAGGUCUUGAUCUAUAGUAGCGUUUGUGGGAAAAGCGUCGCUAAAUGUCUUGAUCUAUAGCGACGUUUGUGAAAAAAGCGCCACUAAAGAUCUUGAGCUAUACCGGCAUUUGUGGAAAAGCGCCGCUAAAGGUCCUGAUCUAUAGUGGCGUUUCUGGAAAAGGCACCACUAAAGGUCCUGAUCUAUAGCGGCGUUUGUGGGAAAAGCGCCGCUAAAGGUGAUGAUCUAUAGCGGCGUUUAUUUAUAUAAACGCCACAAAUGUUUGCGAAGUUUACAACAGCAGCAUUUUUUUUGGCGCAUUCAAAAGCACCACAAGUACUUUUAAAAAAACGUCGCUAAAAACCUGUUUUGGUGUAGUGAUCAAGAGUGAGCCUGUUUAUUUGAUGGUUAAACUUCUGUGUAUCUUCUGGUUAUGUGUUCAAGUCCCUAUACGUGUAAUAGUAAAUAUUUUUAUACUUUUAGUGUAAUUUUAGUUCCUUAUUUAAAUUAACAAUUUUGUGGGCGUCCCUCUUCCACUUUCCUUUCUUUUCUUCUUUUUUGUUGUUGUUUUUUUUUUCAUUUUAUCUUAUUUGUUUUUCCUUUCCUUUUGUUUAUACCCGUGAAGUGGCUAUCGAGACUAAUUGAGGGUCGUACGUUGUUCGCUGUGUAAUUUGGGAGGUUACCGUGUAAGUUCUGCCGAAAAUUCCUUUUUGCUUUCGUGAAUUCUUACUGUUUUUCUUGUUUUGUCGAAAUUGUCUUAAAUUACUCAAAAGCUUUAGUAAGCAUACAUUGGUUUCGUGUUUAGGCGAGGAUUUUACGAGAACCAUUUCACUAACAUACUAAUUCCACUGUUUUCACUCUACGAGCAAGGUGAGCGUAGGUAUUUAAGGGAGGAUUGUAUUGAAGAUUUAGACAUGAAAGUUAGUUUUGUGCAUUAUUACUUGUGUGCAUAGAUGAUAAUUGUUAAAUUUGUUAUUGGGUGGUCGUUUUAGGUUUUGGGGUUAUUCAGCAUUGUUCCUACAUGAAAUCGACACCAGGUGUGUACCAAAAACUCAAAUUUCUCUUAAUUUUAAAUAUUGGAAAACAUGGUUGUCAACGCCACAUGACCGUGCACCAGUCCAUGUGGUAGGCCGUGUAAACCACGCGGCUUGGAGUCAUGUGAGUCACUGUUCAUGAAUUAGAGACACACGGGCUAAGGACAAUAGCGUAUGUCCAGACCGUGUAUGAGAAUGUUUUGUGCAAGGUUCACACGAGCCAAGGACAUGGGCGUGUGUCAAGGCCAUGUAAGUCACUGUCUGUGUGUUAAAGCUACAUAGGCAAAUGACACGGGCGUGUUUCAGGCCGUGUGAGGCACACGAGCAUGUGUCAGGCUGUGUGAAACCACAUAGGUGUGUGGACCAAUAUUUGGAUUUUUCCCUCGAGCCACAAGUGUCAUUUGAAAUGAAUGCAGGCCUUGUAUGAGGUUCGUAUGAACUGAAUUAAACUGUUAUUUUGUGGUCUGAGAUUGAGGGUUGAAAAUUUGAAUGUGUAUUGUGUGUGAAAAUCGUUAAUGAUAUUAAUUUAUUUUGUACAAUAUGAACUGUAUUUGAAUGGUCAUAUAGGCCUCUGUAUUAAUUGUCAUUUGAAAUCUACAUCAGCAUUGAGUGGGAAUUGAGUAAAGGUGAAAGUAUUUUGUUAUGAGCAAGUGGUUAAACCACUAAUAUCUGUAAUCUGAUCUGGCAGCUGGUCUGUGAUAAUUGAAAUGUGUCAUACCGACACUAUGUGGUGUGUAGGGCUGGAUGGGUAUUAAAUACCUUGUUUGGUGUGUUGGGUUGGUAGGAGAUGGUGUGUAACAGAUGGGGGUAGGACACUGUAUCUGUUUUGAUCUGCUCGGCAUGGCACUGUACCUAUUCUGAUCUAUUAUGUAUCUAAAAAAGAGGUAUUUGGUUACCUGUUUGAUCUGUUCUGAUCUGUUCUCUAAUUUUGAUUCCGGCCCUGAAUAAGGAAACUUAUUGGUUACUCGUAAAUUGUUUGAACUUAUAUAAUCUUUCCUUUAGUGCUAGACAAACUCAUUUUGUUUGUUGCUUAAACUGCAGGUAGUCUACAAACUUCAUCGAGUUAGUGGUUCAGAAGCUCGACCAUCCUAAUUAUUAGCUUUUAUAAUUAUUAGUUUGUUUUAGAUUAAGUGAAAAUGAGGUCGCGCGGUAGUCGUGGAUGUGGUACUCAGAGACGUCGUGGGUGUCGAAGAGGAGCUCGAGCAAAGUCAUCCUCUAUGGGUAGUAUGCCAAAUUUAGAGACCAGCGAAACUGUUGGUAUUCUUACUACUAAGAUUGGGUCUCGAAACCCGAUAGUUGGGGAUGACACAUUGUCCUAAGUUAUGAUUCAAGCGUUAGAGAGGGUCACUGGGGUCUAGUCUAGAUCUCAAUGCCGAGGGUCGGUUACUGAGCGACUCCAGUCAAAUGGUACUGAGUUAUUUAAAGGUGUCAUUGGAGUCGCCCCUACCAUGUCAAGUAUUGGUUCGAGGCCACUAAACAUAUCAUGACUAAUAUUGAUUGCACUCCUACUCAGAAAUUAAUGGGUGGAGUGUCUUUACUAUGAGAUAAAGCCUACCAGUGGUGAUUGACAGUUGAGCAGGGUGCUCAGCCCGAACAGAUUAAUAGGACUACUUUAAGAAUACCUUCCAGAGUAAAUACGUGAGGGCGAGUUACGUGGAGGCUCACCAUCACUAGUUUAUGAAUUUUGUUUAGGGCAAGAGACCUGUAGCUGAGUAUGAAGCCGAACAGGUAUGCUCGAGCUAGCUCCUUAGCGGGAGCGAGUAUUUGCAGCCUUAGUUGACAAGGCUAAGAUAGCUGAAGAAGUUAAGCACACUUAGCGUGAGAGGUAAGACCGAAAGAGAUGUCAGAGUAAGAUUAAGAAGUAUUCGGGUCCCUCUAAUUCUAGACAGCACUUUAAGAAAUGAUUAAGGUUUGAUGGGCCUCCGAGGACCGAUGCACCAGCUGCAGUGACUGAGAUUUAGCUCUGUAGUGGCUGUGGGGGGUGCCAUCUGGGUGAGUGCUGGAGGAAAUCAGGAGCCUGUCUCCGUUGUGAGUCGGUGGAGCAUCGUGUUCGAAAUUGCCCUCGCCGAUCAGAUCAGGUGCUCAUUACAGCACAGACUCCAGCUUUGGGUCUCGAUCAGCCUCCGAGAGUAGUUCAACAACCACCUAAGGGUCGUAGAAUGGGUAGGGGUGGUAAUGGUUCUAGUAGGGGUCAGAAAGCAGCGGGUAGAGGUGUGGGUCAAACUGAGGCACGAUAGCCUGCACUAGUCUAUGCAACGAGACGCUGUGAGGACAACGACGAUGGCGAUGUUAUAGUGGGUACAUUUUUUAUUCAGUUUGUUUCAUAUUUUGCUCUGAUUGCUACUACUGUUUCUACAAAUAUGGGUAUAUUUGUUGAGAAUACUGCUAGGGAAUUUGCUGUGAUUAGUCAUCUGGGUCAGUCAGUCCAAGUUGAUAAAGCAUAUAGAUGGGUUCCAUUAGAAAUUUAGGGUGUGGUAUUUUUGGUUGAUUUAAUGGAGUUGCCUUUCGGUGAGUUUGACCUGAUUCUGGGGAUAGAUUGGCUCGUGGAACAUCGGGUCAGUCUAGAUUGUGCCUCUAAAAGAGUUACUCUAAGGACUAGCGAGAGUAGUGAGAUUAGUAUGAUUGGUGAGCGUUGAGAUUAUCUCUCCAACGUAAUCUCUUCCUUAGUAGUUGAAAAACUAGUUUGGAAAGGUUGUGAGGCUUACCUAGUAUUUAUCUCUGACUCUAUUCCUACAAAGCUAUUUGUAAAGAAAAUUCGUAUGGUGAGGGGCUUUCUAGAUGUUUUUCCUGCGGAAUUACCUGAGGUACCUCUGAACAGGGAGGUUGAGUUUCGCAUUGAAUUGUUACCGGGUACUGCUCUAGUGUUCAUUGCACCAUAUCACAUGGCACCUCAGGAGUUUUUUGAGCUAAAGGCUCGGCUUCAAGAACUUCUUAAUCGAGGGUUCACUAGACCAAGUGUGUCUCUGUGGGGAGCAUCGAUUUUGUUUGUCAUGAAGAAAGACGGUUCGAUGAGAAUAUGUAUAGGUUACCGUCAGCAGAACAAGUUGACAGUAUAGAAUAAGUAUCCAUUACCAAGGAUCGAUGAUUUAUUCAAUUAGUUCUGUGGGGAAUCGAUAUUCUCCAAAAUUGAUAUUUGAUCUGGGUACCAUCAGCUCAAGGUUAAGCAUACUGAUGUGUACAAGAUUGCUUUCAGGACUCGUUAUGGGCAUUACGAGUUCCAGGUUAUGCCAUUCGGUUUAACGAACGCUAUAGUCCCAUUUAUGGAUUUAAUAAAUCAGGAGUUUUAGCCAUAUUUGGACUAGUUUGUUGUAGUUUUAUUGAUGACAUUCUGAUUUAUUCCAAGACUAAGUCUGAGCAUGACGAACACCUUUGUAUUGUUCUACAAACACUCUGUGAAAAACAACUAUAUGUUAAGUUUAGUAAGUGUAUCUUUUAGUUGCAGAAAGUUUCUUUUUUGAGGCAUGCUAUGACUGCUGAAGGGAUUUGGGUCGAUCCUAAUAAAAUUGAGGCUGUGGCCGAGUGGAAACAGCCGAAGAAUGCGUCUGAACUUUGGAGCUUUCUUGGCUUGGCAGGAUAUUAUCGGAGAUUUGUCGAGGGGUUUUCUUUGAUUACGUCUCCUCUGAAUAAGUUAUUGUGUAAGAACACCCUAUUUGUGUGGUUUAAUAAACAGCAGUCGAGCUUCGAAAAGCUCAAGUCUAUUCUGACAUGAGCUCCUAUUUUGGUUCAGCCCAUAUCGGGUAGGGAGUUUAUGGUUUACAGUGAUGUGUCACGCAUUGGCCUAGAUGUGUCUUGAUGUAGGAUGGUAAAGUGGUAGCUUAUGCAUAUCGACAGUUGAAGUUUCACAAAGGUAACUAUCCUACGCAUGAUUUGCAGCUGGAUGUAGUCGUUUUUGCUCUAAAAAUCUGAAGACAAUACCUGUACAGUGAGCAUUGUAUCAUCUACACUGAUCAUAAGAGCCUUAAAUAUUUGUUAACUCAGAAAGAAUUUCACAUUAGGCAACAGAGAUAGGUUGAGCUACUUAAGGAUUAUGACUUCACGAUAAAGUAUCAUCUCGGCAAAGCCAAUGUGGUGGUCGAUGCUCUUAGUCAUAGAGCAAUGGCCGAUCUGAGAACGAUGUUCGCUUGUCUAAGUUUAUUCGAGGAUGGGAGCCUGUUAGCUAAGUUUUAGGUUAAACCAAAUUGGGUUGAUCAAAUUCGAGCUAAACGACUACGUAAUAAGUCUUUAGUUCAACAUUUGCAUCAGAUUCUGUAGGAGAAGCAUAGUAUCCCUUAUUCUAUGCAUCCUAGUGGGAAUAAGAUGUAUCGAGAUCUCUAAGCAUUUAUUGGUGGUCUGGUUUGAAAUGAGAGGUGACUACCUUUGUGCCCCAUUGUGGUCUACUCCAGCUAGUUAAAAUUCCCGUUGGAAGUGGUAGUGACAAACGACGAACUUCGUUUGUGGGUUGCCUUUGACACCCACUAAGAAAGAUUCUGUAUGGGUCAUCGUUGACCAAUUGACUAAGUUUGCUCAUUUCCUACCUGUUAGGACGAAUUAUUCACUUCGAAAGCUGCCUAAACUAUAUGUGUCUGAAAUUGUAAGACUGCAUGGAGUUUCAGUCUUAAUUAUCUCAAAUAAGGAUCUGCAUUUUAGUUAUCGGUUCUGGAAGAAACUUCACGAAGCAUUAGCACUCGAUUAGAUUUCAGUACCGCGUAUCACCCUCAGAUUGAUGGACAGUCUGAGCUUGUUAUUUAGAUUCUAGAGGAUAUGCUUCAGGGUUGUCUAAUCAAUUUUUGAGGUAGUUGGGAAGAUUAUCUACCACUAGUUGAGUUUGCUUACAACAACAUUUUUCAAUCUAGUAUUUAGAUGGCACCUAACGAAGCUCUAUAUUGUUGUAAGUGUCGUAUACCAUUGUGUUGGACUAAUUUAGGUGAACGUUGAGUUAUGGGUCCCGAGCUAGUUUCUAAGACUGAGAAUACAAUUAAAUUGAUUCGAAACCAUCUGAAAACUACUUCUGACUGACAGAAAUUGUAUGCAGAUUUAAAGAGAAACGAUAUCGAGUUUUCUAUAGAUGAUCAGGUAUUUCUAAAAGUAUCCUCAUGGAAAGAGGUUCUUUGGUUCGAACAUAAAGGCAACUUGAGCCCAAGGUUCAUUGGACCUUACCAUAUUUUAAAACAUGUUCAACAUGUUGCUUAUCAGUUAAAAUUACUUUUAAUGUUGGAUCAAAUUCAUGAUGUGCUCCACGUCUCGAUCUUGAGGUGGUAUCGGUCUAAUCUAUCGCACAUUGUCCCUAUCGAGGAAAUUGAGGUGCGAGUAGAUCUGAUGUUUGAGGAAGAGUCUGUUCAGAUUCUGGAUCAAGACGUCAAGGUCUUGAGAAAAAAACUAUCCCUGUAGUUAAAGUUUUGUGGUGGAAUCAUAGAACUAAGGAAGCCACUUGGGAACCCGAGGAUUUUGUUCGUCAGCAAUAUCUCUAUCUGUUUGAAUCAGGUAAAUUUUUUAGGCCGAAAUUUCUUAAAACGGGUGAGAGUUGUAACGCCCCAAAAAUUUUAAUAUUGUCUGUUGAAUUUUAUCGUAGUGAAGUCUUUAUCUAUGUGGUUCUAUGCUCACUUUACGUGUUCGAGGUCAGGGGUUUGAGUUGUGUCAUUCGAAAGUUAUGUCAUUUUAUCCUAAAUUAACAUCUAUCCUUGAACUAUCGACUUAAGUUUGAUUCUGUGCGAUUACGUAUCAAGACCGAGCCUACUGGUUUGAUGGUUAAACUUCUGCGUAUCUUUCGGUUCCAUGUUCGUGUCUCUGUAUGCACAAUAGGAAAUAUUUUUAUUCUUUUAGUGAAGUUUUAGUUCCCUUUUUAAAUUAAUAGUUUUGUGGACGUCCCUCUUCCACUUUCCUUUCGGUUCUCUUUUUUUUUCUUUCGUUUUUUUUAUUUUAUCUUAUUUCUUUUUCCUUUCCUUUUGAUUAUACUUGUGAAGUGGCUAGCGAGACUAGUUGAGGGUCAUACGUUGUUCGCUGUAUAAUUUGGAAGGUUACUGAGUAAGUUCUGUCAAAAAUUCCAUUUUGCUUCUGUGAAUUCUUGUUGUUCUUCUUGUUUUGUCAAAAAAAUAUUUCUUCUUAAAUUACUCGAACACUUUAGUAAGUAUACGUUGGCUUCGUGUUUAGGUAAGGAUUUUAUGAGAACUGUUUCUCUAACGCGCUAGUUUCGUUGUUUUCGCUUCUACAAGCAAUGUGAGUGUAGGAAUUCUAUGGAGGAUUAUAUGGAAGGUUUCGACAUGAAAGUUAGUUUUGUGCAUUAUAGUUUGCGUGCAGUUGGAAUAAUUGUUAAAAUGGUUAUUGAAUGGUCGUUUUAGGUUUCGGGGUUAUUCUCCAUUGUUCCUACAUCAAAUCGAUACCAAGUGCGUACUGAAAACCCAACUUUCUAUUAAUUUUAGACGCCAAAAAAAUGGCUAUCGAUGCCACACAGUCGUCUGGUAGGUCAUGCGGCAAUCCAUGUAACUCACUGUUCACAAAUUAGAGGCACAUGGGCUAAUGACAUGAGCGUGUGUCCAAACCGUGUAUGGGAAUAUUUCGUGCAAGGUUCACACAGGCCAAGGACAUGGGCCUGUGUCCAGACCGUGUAACUCACUGUUUGUGCAUUAGGGCCACACGGGCAAGUGACAUGGGUAUGUAUCAGGCCGUGUAAGGCACAUAGGCAAACACACAGGUGUGUGCCUGGCCGUGUGGGACCAUACGAGCCUGCUAUCCAGGCCGUGUGUAACCACACAACUGUGUGGACCAAUAUUUGGACUUUUCUUUCCGGCCAUAAGUGUCGUUUGAAACGAACACAUACCUUUUAUAAAGUCCAUAUGAACUGAAUUAAACUAUUAUUCUGUGAUCUGAGACUGAGUACUGAAAAUCUGUAUGUGUAUUGCGAUUGAAAAUCGUUAAUCAUAUUGAUUUAUUCUGUAUGAGUAUGAACUAUAUCUGAAUGGUCGUAUAGGCCUCUAUAUUAACUGUCAUUUGAAAUCUGCAUCUGCAUUGGGUGGGAAUUGAUUAAUGGUGGAAGUAUUUUGUUCUGAGCUAGUGUUUAAACCACUAAUAUCUAUAAUCUGAUCUGGCAGCUGGUUACGAUAAUUGAAAUGUGUAAUAUCAACACUAUGUGGUGUGUAGGGCUGGAUGGGUAUUAAAUAUCUUGUUUUGUGUGUUGGGUUGGUAAGAGAUGGUGUGUAGUGGAUGGGGGUACGACAUUGUAUCUGUUCCAAUCUGUUCUGCAUGACACUGUAUAUGUUCUAAUCUGCUUUGCAUGACACUAUAUCUAUUCUGAUAUGUUAUGUAUCUAAAGAAAAGGAAAAUGGUUACCUGUUUGAUUUGUUUUGAUAUGUUAAGUUAAUGGAUUGUCCUCUGAAUCUGAUUCUAAACCUGUAUGAGGAAACUUACUUGUUACUCGUAAAUUGUUCGGACUUAUAUAAUCUUUCCUUUAGUGCUAUACUAACUCGUUUUGUCUGUUGCUUAAAUUGCAGGUAGUCCACAGACUUGAUCAGGUUGGUGGUUCGAAAGCUCGGUCAUCCUAAUUAUCAGCAAUUAUAAUUAUUAGUUUGUUUUUGAUAUUUUCAAAACAUUCGACUUCCUAAAAUGAUAACUCUCGAAUUAAGUGUUAUGCUUGUUAAUUUUAUUUUGGUUAGAAAGACUUUGAA